GACGAACGCUGGCGGCGUGCCUAAUACAUGCAAGUAGAACGCUGAAGCGAGGAGCUUGCUCUUCUUGGAUAAGUUGCGAAUGGGUGAGUAACGCGUAGGUAACCUGCCUUGUAGAGGGGGAUAACUAUUGGAAACGAUAGCUAAUACCGCAUAACAAUGGAUGACACAUGUCAUUUGUUUGUAAGGGGCAAUUGCUCCACUACAAGAUGGACCUGCGUUGUAUUAGGUAGUAGGUGAGGCACUGGCUCACCUAGGCGACGAUACAUAGCCGACCUGAGAGGGUGAUCGGCCACACUGGGAGUGUGACACGGCCCAGACGCCUUCGGGAGGGAGCAGUAGUGAAUCUGGGGCAAUGGGUGCAACCCUGACCGAGCAACGCCGCGUGAGUGAAGAAGGUUUUCGGAUCGGAAAGCUCUGUUGUAAGUCAAGAACGGGUGUGAGAGUGGAAAGUUCAGACUGUGACGGUAGCUUACCAGAAAGCGACGGCUAACUACGUG
RNAcentral lists this ribosomal RNA (497 nucleotides) under uncultured bacterium. RNAcentral's name for it is "partial 16S ribosomal RNA". It matches the Rfam family "Bacterial small subunit ribosomal RNA", at positions 28 to 507 of the family's 1533-position model. The record is from RNAcentral.